GGCGGAUGUAGCCAAGUGGAUUAAGGCAGUGGAUUGUGAAUUCACCAUGCGCGGGUUCAAUUCCCGCCGUUCGCC
This 75-nucleotide transfer RNA is filed under the name Corythophora amapaensis. Its description in RNAcentral is "tRNA-His". It matches the Rfam family "tRNA". From Rfam's summary of the family: Transfer RNA (tRNA) molecules are approximately 80 nucleotides in length. RNAcentral also lists the same sequence under 1 other name. Lineage: Eukaryota; Viridiplantae; Streptophyta; Magnoliopsida; Ericales; Lecythidaceae. The record is from RNAcentral.